RNAcentral lists this ribosomal RNA (804 nucleotides) under uncultured Verrucomicrobium sp. RNAcentral's name for it is "bacterial SSU rRNA". It matches the Rfam family "Bacterial small subunit ribosomal RNA", at positions 66 to 875 of the family's 1533-position model. Lineage: Bacteria; Pseudomonadati; Verrucomicrobiota; Verrucomicrobiia; Verrucomicrobiales; Verrucomicrobiaceae. The record is from RNAcentral.
ACGGGGUUUAGUUUGUAGUAAUACACGCUAAAUCCAGUGGCGAACGGGUGCGUAACACGUGAGUAAUCUGCCGGGAAGUGGGGGAUAGCUCGCCGAAAGGCGAAUUAAUACCGCAUAUGACAAGGGAAGACAUCUUUCCGAAGUCAAAGUCGCAAGACGCUUCCUGAUGAGCUCGCGGCCUAUCAGCUAGUUGGUGAGGUAACGGCCCACCAAGGCAAUGACGGGUAGCUGGUCUGAGAGGACGACCAGCCACACUGGAACUGAGACACGGUCCAGACACCUACGGGUGGCAGCAGUCGAGAAUUUUUCACAAUGGGGGAAACCCUGAUGGAGCGACGCCGCGUGGAGGAUGAAGGUCUUCGGAUUGUAAACUCCUGUCAUGCGAGAACAAGAAAGUGAUAGUAUCGCAAGAGGAAGAGACGGCUAACUCUGUGCCAGCAGCCGCGGUAAUACAGAGGUCUCAAGCGUUGUUCGGAUUCAUUGGGCGUAAAGGGUGCGUAGGUGGCGUGGAAAGUUGAGUGUGAAAUCCUAGGGCUUAACCUUAGAACUGCACUCAAUACUCCCAUGCUAGAGGAAUGUAGAGGAGAGUGGAAUUCACGGUGUAGCAGUGAAAUGCGUAGAUAUCGUGAGGAAGACCAGUUGCGAAGGCGACUCUCUGGGCAUUUCCUGACACUGAGGCACGAAGGCCAGGGGAGCGAACGGGAUUAGAUACCCCGGUAGUCCUGGCAGUAAACGGUGCACGUUUGGUGUGGGCGGGCUCAGACCCCGUCCGUGCCGGAGCUAACGCGUUAAACGUGCCGCCUG